CCUGGGAACUGCGUUNUGAACUGGCAGGCUAGAGUGUGUCAGAGGGGGGUAGAAUUCCACGUGUAGCAGUGAAAUGCGUAGAGAUGUGGAGGAAUACCGAUGGCGAAGGCAGCCCCCUGGGAUAACACUGACGUUCAUGCUCGAAAGCGUGGGUAGCAAACAGGAUUAGAUACCCUGGUAGUCCACGCCCUAAACGAUGUCGAUUAGCUGUUGGGCAACUUGAUUGCUUAGUAGCGUAGCUAACGCGUGAAAUUGACCGCCUGGGGAGUACGGUCGCAAGAUUAAAACUCAAAGGAAUUGACGGGGACCCGCACAAGCGGUGGAUGAUGUGGAUUAAUUCGAUGCAACGCGAAGAACCUUACCUGGUCUUGACAUGUACGGAAUCUUCCAGAGACGGGAGAGUGCCUUCGGGAACCGUAACACAGGUGCUGCAUGGCUGUCGUCAGCUCGUGUCGUGAGAUGUUGGGUUAAGUCCCGCAACGAGCGCAACCCUUGUCAUUAGUUGCCAUCAUUCAGUUGGGCACUCUAAUGAGACUGCCGGUGACAAACCGGAGGAAGGUGGGGAUGACGUCAAGUCCUCAUGGCCCUUAUGACAGGGCUUCACACGUCAUACAAUGGUCGGUACAGAGGGUAGCCAAGCCGCGAGGUGGAGCCAAUCCCAGAAAACCGAUCGUAGUCCGGAUUGCACUCUGCAACUCGAGUGCAUGAAGUCGGAAUCGCUAGUAAUCGCAGGUCAGCAUACUGCGGUGAAUACGUUCCCGGGUCUUGUACACACCGCCCGUCACACCAUGGAAGUGGGGGAUACCAGAAGUAGGUAGGCUAACCGCAAGGAGGCCGC
This 838-nucleotide ribosomal RNA is filed under the name uncultured bacterium. RNAcentral describes it as "bacterial SSU rRNA". It matches the Rfam family "Bacterial small subunit ribosomal RNA", at positions 613 to 1453 of the family's 1533-position model. The record is from RNAcentral.